AGCGAACGCUGGCGGCAGGCUUAACACAUGCAAGUCGAGCGGGCGUAGCAAUACGUCAGCGGCAGACGGGUGAGUAACGCGUGGGAACAUACCUUUUGGUUCGGACAACACAGGGAAACUUGUGCUAAUACCGGAUAAGCCCUUACGGGGAAAGAUUUAUCGCCGAAAGAUUGGCCCGCGUCUGAUUAGCUAGUUGGUGAGGUAACGGCUCACCAAGGCGACGAUCAGUAGCUGGCUGAGAGGAUGAUCAGCCACAUUGGGACUGAGACACGGCCCAAACUCCUACGGGAGGCAGCAGUGGGGAAUAUUGGACAAUGGGCGCAAGCCUGAUCCAGCCAUGCCGCGUGAGUGAUGAAGGCCCUAGGGUUGUAAAGCUCUUUCGGCGGGGACGAUGAUGACGGUACCCGCAUAAGAACG
RNAcentral lists this ribosomal RNA (417 nucleotides) under uncultured bacterium. Its description in RNAcentral is "bacterial SSU rRNA". It matches the Rfam family "Bacterial small subunit ribosomal RNA", at positions 29 to 491 of the family's 1533-position model. The record is from RNAcentral.